This is a non-coding RNA of Vicia faba (fava bean), 219 nucleotides long. The record is from the annotation of a GenBank genome assembly. NCBI's taxonomy places the organism in Eukaryota, Viridiplantae, Streptophyta, Magnoliopsida, Fabales, Fabaceae.
AUGGUAAAGCAACCAACGAAGGGCGAAGAAACAGAGAAAAAAACACUUACCGGCCAAAAGGAUAACUUCUCCGGAGUACUCAGGUACAACUAUUCAAAGCUUAUUUCUCUGCUUCUUCUUCUUCUUCUUCAAAUUAUGGUUCAGAUUAUUUUUUAUCUAAUUUUUCUCCCUUCCUCUAUUAUGAACAACCUGUUAUAUAGAGAUGAAUCAAAAAAUUGA